Molecule: long non-coding RNA, 989 nt
Filed under: Mytilus galloprovincialis (Mediterranean mussel)
Lineage: Eukaryota; Metazoa; Mollusca; Bivalvia; Mytilida; Mytilidae
Source: RNAcentral
GCCCCUGCUACUGAAUCGUGUUCCUUUAACAUAGGAGAAGAAGAAAUUGAUAGUAAUUUUUGGCCAAAGACUUUAAACCUACUUUGCAUUAAAUUCUGGAAAUUUUCUUGUGGCCGUAAAUAGUAUAAUCCUCAGAAAAUUCUCAAUAAUUUUUGGGAAUGAUUACAGGUUUUAAAUCAAAUUUUCAUGGAUCAACUUGUUAGCUCCCAUCCUGACAAGCCAUGAGAGCUGUCGGUAUCCUGUUGCACCUACCGCCCGUAAACUUUCACAUUUCCAGUUUGUUUACCAAAUUCAUACGUGACAGGAUUAUUAUGCUAGUAACCGGUGUUUAAGUUAAAAAAAAAAUCCACAAUACUAUAUUAAUUGUGUGCGUCAAUUUGUUUAGACAAAACAAAACUGCAAAAACUUCGAAUACAAAAGAGUAUCUUUUUUUAAAUGUCAUUAUUUUAAUGAUGUCACCCAAACGACGUCACCCGAUCGGCAAUGUCGUGUGACAUAUUGCUUUUCAUCUGUUUCUUUUAUCCUAUUCUUAUUAUUAUUUUUCUUCAACCUACUUUUGUCCGGCAGUUUUCUCAGAGUCAAUGGAACCAAUCUUAAUGAUACUUUACUGUAACAAAGACCACUGACUUUAGAGUUCCAGUCCACCUUUUGAACUAUAAAAUGGGUGCCUUUACCAUGGAAACAGCAAAAAUGUGGAAAAAAUCAAAAUAGCAAAUCCAUUCAAUCUUUCAUUAAAAGACCCAACCUGAUGAAACUUUAUGGGAAUGUUGCCUUACAUGCCAAGAUGUGUUGACCAUAUUUAUCAAUUACAAAAUGGCUGCCAUUACCAUGGAAACUUGAUAUUCAUUUACCAUUAGACCCUAUGGUAAAUUCUAAAAAAGUUGCAUUUACUCAAUUAUAAUGGUAGGUCAAAUCCAUUGAAACUUUUAUGGCAUAUUCUGUAACAUGAACCAAUGUUGCAUCUGUGAUUUAAAAAAUUGGAAUUGUCU